UACGUAGGGUGCAAGCGUUGUCCGGAAUUAUUGGGCGUAAAGAGCUCGUAGGCGGUUUGUCGCGUCGGCUGUGAAAGCCCGGAGCUCAACUCCGGGUCUGCAGUCGAUACGGGCAGACUUGAGUGUUGCAGGGGAGACUGGAAUUCCUGGUGUAGCGGUGAAAUGCGCAGAUAUCAAGGAGGAACACCAGCGGCGAAGGCGGUGCUCUGGGCCGGAACUGACGCUGAGGGAGCGAAAGCGUGGGGAGCGAACAG
This 254-nucleotide ribosomal RNA is filed under the name uncultured bacterium. RNAcentral's name for it is "partial 16S ribosomal RNA". It matches the Rfam family "Bacterial small subunit ribosomal RNA", at positions 524 to 775 of the family's 1533-position model. The record is from RNAcentral.